This 72-nucleotide transfer RNA is filed under the name Camelus bactrianus (Bactrian camel). It matches the Rfam family "tRNA". From Rfam's summary of the family: Transfer RNA (tRNA) molecules are approximately 80 nucleotides in length. Their secondary structure includes four short double-helical elements and three loops (D, anti-codon, and T loops). RNAcentral also lists the same sequence under 3 other names. The record is from Rfam by way of RNAcentral. Lineage: Eukaryota; Metazoa; Chordata; Mammalia; Artiodactyla; Camelidae.
GAGGGUAGAUCUCAGUGGUAGAGUGUGUGCUUAGCAUGCACAAGGUCCUGGGUUCAAUCCCCAGUACCUCCA